This 294-nucleotide ribosomal RNA is filed under the name uncultured bacterium. Its description in RNAcentral is "partial 16S ribosomal RNA". It matches the Rfam family "Bacterial small subunit ribosomal RNA", at positions 333 to 625 of the family's 1533-position model. The record is from RNAcentral.
UUUUGCCUACGGGACGCAGCAGUGAGGAAUAUUGGUCAAUGGGCGCAGGCCUGAACCAGCCAAGUCGCGUGAGGGAAGACUGCCCUAUGGGUUGUAAACCUCUUUUAUAAGGGAAGAAUAAUGACUACGUGUAGUCAGAUGCCCGUACCUUAUGAAUAAGCAUCGGCUAACUCCGUGCCAGCAGCCGCGGUAAUACGGAGGAUGCGAGCGUUAUCCGGAUUUAUUGGGUUUAAAGGGUGCGUAGGCGGUAUUUUAAGUUAGUGGUAAAACGUCGGGGCUUCACCUUAAUUUGCC